AGAGUUUGAUCAUGGCUCAGGAUGAACGCUGGCGGUAUGCCUAACACAUGCAAGUCGUACGAGAGUUUUUAACUCUAGUGGCGGACGGGUGAGUAACACGUAAGAAUUUACCUUCAGGAGGGGGAUAACAAUUGGAAACAAAUGCUAAUACCCCAUAUGCUUUCGAGUGAAAUGGAUUUAUAUUUAUCCGCCUAAAGAGAAGCUUGCGUCUGAUUAGCUUGUUGGUAAGGUAAAAGCUUACCAAGGCGACGAUCAGUAUCUGGUUUGAGAGGACGAUCAGACACACUGGAACUGAGACACGGUCCAGACUCCUACGGGAGGCAGCAGUGGGGAAUUUUCCGCAAUGGGCGAAAGCCUGACGGAGCAAUACCGCGUGAGGGAAGACUGCCUAUGGGUUGUAAACCUCUUUUUUCAGGGAGGAACAAAAUGAGCGUGUACCUGAAGAA
This 446-nucleotide ribosomal RNA is filed under the name uncultured bacterium. Its description in RNAcentral is "bacterial SSU rRNA". It matches the Rfam family "Bacterial small subunit ribosomal RNA", at positions 8 to 486 of the family's 1533-position model. The record is from RNAcentral.